RNAcentral lists this ribosomal RNA (253 nucleotides) under uncultured bacterium. RNAcentral describes it as "partial 16S ribosomal RNA". It matches the Rfam family "Bacterial small subunit ribosomal RNA", at positions 524 to 776 of the family's 1533-position model. The record is from RNAcentral.
UACAGAGGUCUCAAGCGUUGUUCGGAUUCAUUGGGCGUAAAGGGUGCGUAGGCGGCGCGGUAAGUCGGGUGUGAAAUCUCGGAGCUUAACUCCGAAACUGCAUUCGAUACUGCCGUGCUUGAGGACUGGAGAGGAGACUGGAAUUUACGGUGUAGCGGUGGAAUGCGCAGAUAUCAGGAGGAACACCAAUAGCGAAGGCAGCUCGCUGGGACGGUACUGACGCUAAGGCGCGAAAGCGUGGGGAGCGAACAGG